RNAcentral lists this ribosomal RNA (253 nucleotides) under uncultured bacterium. Its description in RNAcentral is "partial 16S ribosomal RNA". It matches the Rfam family "Bacterial small subunit ribosomal RNA", at positions 524 to 776 of the family's 1533-position model. The record is from RNAcentral.
UACGGGGGGGGCAAGCGUUGUUCGGAAUUACUGGGCGUAAAGGGCGCGUAGGCGGUUCGCUAAGUUGGAUGUGAAAACUCUGGGCUCAACCCAGAGCCUGCAUCCAAAACUGGCGGGCUAGAGUUCUGGAGGGGAUAGCGGAAUUCCUGGUGUAGCGGUGAAAUGCGUAGAUAUCAGGAGGAACACCGGUGGCGAAGGCGGCUAUCUGGACAGAGUCUGACGCUGAGGCGCGAAAGCUAGGGGAGCAAACAGG